Magnolia sinica is the source of this 1059-nucleotide long non-coding RNA. RefSeq lists it as uncharacterized. The transcript has 5 exons. The record is from RefSeq and is a predicted model, not a curated record. NCBI's taxonomy places the organism in Eukaryota, Viridiplantae, Streptophyta, Magnoliopsida, Magnoliales, Magnoliaceae.
UGAAAAUAUACUUCAAGUUCUUAACACAUGGUAGAAAUUUUGACAAUUGUUGUACAUCUGAAGACAAUGGGCAGGUUGUUAAAGCAAACAAUCAAAGGGAAACCACAUCUAAAAAGAUGGGUUUUAAAACCAUUCGGAUCCUUUUAGAUGCCACCUUGAAAUGUAGGUUAAUCACAUGUAUGAGGAGCGCAGGCUGCUUGUGGCCCAAUCAUGUGGAGAACUUGCAAAAUUUGUUCACCCCAAGAUACAUGACUAUCUCAUUUUAUCAAUUGUGGCCCAAUCAUGUGGAGAACUCGCAGAAUUCGUUCACCCCAAGAUACAUGCCUAUCUCAUUUUAUCCAUUGUGGCCCAAUCAUGUGGAGAACUUUCUUGAACUAUAUGCAGGGUAAUGCUUCAAUCGUAAACAAGAAAUACGCUUGUUAUAAAAAUAAGAGUUUAAUCAUUAAAGAGGGAGUGAGAGAGUCAUUUGUGUUCACCCAACCCAUUCUUAGUGUGACGAUAGAAUUCUGUACAAUCGUCAGCUUUCAUAUAUAAUGGUGCUGCUCGUGGAAAAGGACUAACUUCACCAAAUUAACUCAAUUGAGUUUUGUUAGAAUAUUUCUUAAUAGUUAAUCUAAUCCAUUAUUGGAUUACUAUUUCAGUUUUAAUAUGUUGCUGGUAAUCAAACUAGACGAACACAAAAUUCCAUAGAGAGGCCUAAGGGUUACUGUUGCAAUGCAUCAGGUCGAUAUACCUAUACAGCAAAGCUGCCUGUGGUAUCUUUCAAGCAUUGGAGACAAGGAUCCACAAGCCUCUGGCACAUACAUAUUUCGACCAGAUGGCGCUCCUCAAACAGCUGCUUCAAGAUCGGUACCCUUGAAGAUUGUGCGAGGACCUCUAGUUAAUGAAGUUCAUCAACAAUUCAAUCUGUGGAUUUAUUAGCUUUCUUUGAUACACUGGUCAUGUUGAAUUGUGUUAGAAGAUAUCAACAACAAUAUAGAACUGAGAGAUGUUUGCUUUAGCUACCUUGCAAGACCUGACAUUUAUGUAUUUUGUGGGUUCUCGUUUCAUGUUCCAAGC